GCUCGAUUAACUCAGCGGUAGAGUGUUACCAUGACAUGGUAGUGGUCACUAGUUCGAAUCUAGUAUCGAGCACCA
Molecule: transfer RNA, 75 nt
Filed under: Sulfurimonas sp.
Lineage: Bacteria; Pseudomonadati; Campylobacterota; Epsilonproteobacteria; Campylobacterales; Sulfurimonadaceae
Description: tRNA-Val
Rfam family: tRNA
About the family: Transfer RNA (tRNA) molecules are approximately 80 nucleotides in length. Their secondary structure includes four short double-helical elements and three loops (D, anti-codon, and T loops).
Source: RNAcentral